AUUUAAUAUUUUUUUAAAUAAAUAGUGAGCAACAAUGGGUGCCAACUCCAUCUCCCACUAUCUGCAUGAUUGAUUCAGAAUAUAAUAGUACAUUAUUUUCUAAAAGCAAGUAUAACGAGGAAAAAGCAUUGUAAUAGCCAUGAAUUUGCGUCAUUACCCUUGAAAGAGAAUUAAAUGGUUUAAUUUUCCAUUUGUUGCAUAAUUGAUCUCAGGUACAAAUUUCCUUCGUAGAGUGUUUUAAGUCUUCUUCAUAUAAGAAUGAAAAGAAAAGCUAAUGGAAGAACUGAUUUCUUCCUUAUCUAACCCACUUGAAGAGACCUCAUCAGUGACUCCACUAGAACAUGGUGAAGAAGGUUGAGGAGGGCCCAUAUCAGAGUUUUCUUCCAUUCUAAAUUCCAUGAAACUUGAUCUCAUCACAUCAUGUGUAGUUUGAAUAGUGUUGGUGUUUGAGGGCUGAGAAAUGAUAUUCCCGUGUUUUCUAGGUCUCCUUUUCCUCUGAAA
Molecule: unclassified non-coding RNA, 501 nt
Filed under: Hevea brasiliensis (rubber tree)
Lineage: Eukaryota; Viridiplantae; Streptophyta; Magnoliopsida; Malpighiales; Euphorbiaceae
Source: RNAcentral